UACGAAGGGGGCUAGCGUUGCUCGGAAUCACUGGGCGUAAAGCGCACGUAGGCGGCUUUCUAAGUCAGAGGUGAAAUCCCGGGGCUCAACCCCGGAACUGCCUUUGAUACUGGAAAGCUUGAGUUCGGGAGAGGUGAGUGGAACUGCGAGUGUAGAGGUGAAAUUCGUAGAUAUUCGCAAGAACACCAGUGGCGAAGGCGGCUCACUGGCCCGAUACUGACGCUGAGGUGCGAAAGCGUGGGGAGCAAACAGG
RNAcentral lists this ribosomal RNA (253 nucleotides) under uncultured bacterium. RNAcentral's name for it is "partial 16S ribosomal RNA". It matches the Rfam family "Bacterial small subunit ribosomal RNA", at positions 524 to 776 of the family's 1533-position model. The record is from RNAcentral.